RNAcentral lists this ribosomal RNA (471 nucleotides) under Megasphaera geminata. Its description in RNAcentral is "bacterial SSU rRNA". It matches the Rfam family "Bacterial small subunit ribosomal RNA", at positions 28 to 475 of the family's 1533-position model. Lineage: Bacteria; Bacillati; Bacillota; Negativicutes; Veillonellales; Veillonellaceae. The record is from RNAcentral.
GACGAACGCUGGCGGCGUGCGUAACACAUGCAAGUCGAACGAGAGAGUGAGAGAAGCUUGCUUUUCUUACGAUCGAGUGGCAAACGGGUGAGUAACGCGUAAACAACCUGCCCCGCAGAUGGGGACAACAGCUGGAAACGGCUGCUAAUACCGAAUACGCUCCUCUUAGCGCAUGGUAAGAGGAAGAAAGGGUGGCCUCUGGAACAAGCUACCGCUGUGGGAGGGGUUUGCGUCUGAUUAGCUGGUUGGAGGGGUAACGGCCCACCAAGGCGACGAUCAGUAGCCGGUCUGAGAGGAUGAACGGCCACAUUGGAACUGAGACACGGUCCAGACUCCUACGGGAGGCAGCAGUGGGGAAUCUUCCGCAAUGGGCGAAAGCCUGACGGAGCAACGCCGCGUGAGUGAAGACGGCCUUCGGGUUGUAAAGCUCUGUUAUAGGGGACGAACGGCCGGGUAGCGAAGAGGUACCCG